Molecule: long non-coding RNA, 634 nt
Organism: Anas platyrhynchos (mallard)
Lineage: Eukaryota; Metazoa; Chordata; Aves; Anseriformes; Anatidae
Source: RefSeq, a predicted model, not a curated record
AUUUUCUAUUUCCUUGGUUUGGAAAAAGAAGAAACUGCAGGAAAAGAAAAGGAGAAGGCAGCUAAGGCUCCUUCUGUAAACUAUGACAUUUCCCAGUGCUUGUCUAACAUCACUAGUUUGGUGGUACCCCGAGGAGCCUUUGUCUUUCAGUAUAAGGAUUUUUCUUUACCCAAGCCAGGAAAAUGAUGAAUGAUCAAAUGGAAGAGAACACAGGCUGACACUGGGAUGUGAUGGCUGCUGUUUGGAAAACCUCUUUGUCUCUCCAAAGUUUAGAUGUUUCUUAAUUACUUCCAAAAAGAGCUAUAAGGAGGCAUAGUGCACGUCUGCUGUGGAGAUGAGAAGGGAAAACAAAGUGUCCUCUGUCACACUGUUAUUGUCCUUGGAAGAUAAAGUUGGUGGAAUUAUGCUAAAAUGAGAACAUGAAGAACUGUAAAAUUGUAAUACAAAAACACAACAAAAACAAAAAAAACAGAACCACUGUCAUAUCUCCACUACUUCUAAAGCACCCAGGUGUCUCUUUUCUUUCUAUUUCUCAUUCUUGUCCUUUAUGACAAAUAUUUUGAAAUAGAAAAGGCAAAUUUGAUCUUAAAAUAUAUAGGCUGGGCAUCUGCAAUGUGCUCAGUGCUACAGUGAU